Molecule: microRNA, 23 nt
Filed under: Macaca mulatta (Rhesus monkey)
Lineage: Eukaryota; Metazoa; Chordata; Mammalia; Primates; Cercopithecidae
Also listed under: 2 other names
Description: Mml-Mir-430-P1_5p* (star (passenger))
Source: RNAcentral
ACUUUAACAUGGAAGUGCUUUCU